CCUACGGGAGGCAGCAGUGAGGAAUAUUGGUCAAUGGACGCAAGUCUGAACCAGCCACGCCGCGUGCAGGAAGACGGCUCUAUGAGUUGUAAACUGCUUUUGUACGAGGGUAAACGCAGAUACGCGUAUCUGUCUGAAAGUAUAGUACGAAUAAGGAUCGGCUAACUCCGUGCCAGCAGCCGCGGUAAUACGGAGGAGUCAAGCGUUAUCCGGAUUUAUUGGGUGUAAAGGGUGCGUAGGCGGUCGGAUAAGUUAGAGGUGAAAUCCCGAGGCUCAACUUCGGAAUUGCCUCUGAUACUGUUCGGCUGGAGAGUAGUUGCGGUAGGCGGAAUGUAUGGUGUAGCGGUGAAAUGCUUAGAGAUCAUAAAGAACACCGAUUGCGAAGGCAGCUUACCAAGCUACUUCUGACGUUGAGGCACGAAAGCGUGGGGAGCAAACAGGAUUAGAUACCCGAGUAGUC
This 460-nucleotide ribosomal RNA is filed under the name uncultured bacterium. RNAcentral describes it as "partial 16S ribosomal RNA". It matches the Rfam family "Bacterial small subunit ribosomal RNA", at positions 338 to 795 of the family's 1533-position model. The record is from RNAcentral.